This is a long non-coding RNA of Serinus canaria (Common canary), 1794 nucleotides long. NCBI's taxonomy places the organism in Eukaryota, Metazoa, Chordata, Aves, Passeriformes, Fringillidae. The record is from Ensembl.
UUCAGAAUCUUUCAUGCAUCAUAUAUAACAUUUCUUUUUUCAAUUGCACCUGGCAUAUCAAAGCAGAAGCUCCUGAAGAUAUCCAGAUCUUUAUCUCAUACAGACAUGUAGGAAAGGUUUUUGCAUGCCAGCAAUAUAUAAAAAAUGCAAGGAAGAAAAAUAUUGGGUGCUAUAUGAAAGAAAUACAUUUCCAACCAUCGAGGAAAAUAAAUCUGAACAUAACUGUAAGAAAUUUGAGAAAUAGUUCAAGAGGACUGUUUUAUUACAAAGCUUUCACACCUCAGACAAUAGAGAAGCUGAACCCACCAAUCAACGUCUCAGUUUCCCUUGAAAACAGAAGUAUUAAUAUUCAUUGGAAACCUCCACCUACUAUUGGUUCAGCAAGGAAAAAGUGUUUUUUGUACCAAGUGAAAAUAACAGAUCAGAAGAUUGAAAAUGUCACUGCAGAGAACUAUAAGUAUCCAUUUCAUAAGCCAGCAAAAAGAUGUGCAGCACAAGUGAGGGUAAAGAAAGAGACUUGCAUAUCAAACAAGAUCUGGAGCGAAUGGAGUGAGCCAGUGUUUAUUCAGGAUGAAAAGACAGUGGAUAUCCUGCUGCUAAGCCUCACAUUGUUUUGUGCUCUGGUUUUCCUUGGAGGUUUGCUGGUAUAUGCAUGUAAAAGGUACAGAUGCCUGGAAGUUUUAACCACACCUGUUCCACAUCCUUCAAAUAAUAUCAAAAUGUGGUUAGCAGAUGAGACUCACCACCAGAAACAUAUGUCAAUGCAAAUGGAGAUGAACUCAGAGGUUACUCUGGGAACACCAGAAGAGAACAGAGAUGAGAACAUUCGGCUGCAGAAAUGUUUGAAGGAACUCGUGUUAGAAGACCUAUAGAGAUGACAUGCCUUUUUUAUCUGCAUGCAAGUGUAUCUUCCCAUGAGGUGGGCAAUAUUCCAACAGAUCAAACAGCUGACAUGGGAGUUUGUCUGAGCCCAAUAACUUGUGCUAUGACAACAUGCAACUCUUAAAAUUAGCUUUGGAUCACAGACACAAAGCAGUAUCUCGCCGUUUGUCUCUGAAAAACUGAUCUUCAGAGCAUUAAAAUUAGAGCAUCUCAGAUAACAUGAACUAAUACUGAGGUCCACUUGGGUUAAAAUGAAAUUAAUGUUUCAUAAUGCUACAAUAGCUUCCAAGCACUGUCUGAUAGAUCAAGACCUUUUGAAGACUGGCUGUUCAGACAAAUCUCAUGCUAGCUAUUCCACAUCUGAUUGAAGUGGUCAUGAGAAAUGGUGGGUGCAGUAAAUGUUUCUGGAAACAGCAAGAGAAUCUCACAAGUGUUCUCUAAAACUGAAAACAAAGGAAAAAAUAUCCCUUUCUGAGUCGUUGUAAACACACAUCAACCAGAAAGGAGAGAUAUGUGUGAAGACAAGGUCUUCUAAUAUUGUGGACUUUGCAGUUGGUAAAAUAAGUAAAAUAAGUAAAAUGAGAAAACUUUAGAUGAGGUAAAGAAAACAAAUUUUUCUGCUGUAUUAUGAUUUUUUAAGUAAGUUUAGUUCAGAGAAGUUAUAAGUUCAGAACUGACCAAUUUUUGCUAUUUAUUUUUCCCUGUCCUAUUAAAGAAUAUUUCCUACUGAUUCCAUGAGGUGAUGAGCUAUGCUAGUCCAUAUUUAGGUCUAAAAUCAGGGCAGAUUAUUCUAACUCUUAGCUGGGAGUGUGUUUAUUUGAUUAGAAGAGAAUUAAUUGAUUUUGCAAGGAAGGUGUUUCUUUUCUGAAAGUGGGAAAUAAAAAUCAAUGAUGGACAUAAUUUUCUGGAAGG